RNAcentral lists this ribosomal RNA (406 nucleotides) under uncultured bacterium. RNAcentral's name for it is "partial 16S ribosomal RNA". It matches the Rfam family "Bacterial small subunit ribosomal RNA", at positions 29 to 526 of the family's 1533-position model. The record is from RNAcentral.
AUUGAACGCUGGCGGCAGGCCUAACACAUGCAAGUCGAACGAGUGGCGGACGGGUGAGUAAUGUCUGGGAAACUGCCCGCUGGAGGGGGAUAACUACUGGAAACGGUAGCUAAUACCGCAUACCAUCGGAUGUGCCCAGAUGGGAUUAGCGAGGCGGUGGGGUAACGGCUCACCUAGGCGACGAUCCCUAGCGGGUCGGAGAGGAGGACCAGACACACUGGAACUGAGACACGGUCUAGACUCCUACGGGAGGCAGCAGUGGGGAAUAUUGCACAAUGGGCGAAAGCCUGAUGCAGCCAGGCCGCGUGUAUGAAGAAGGCCUUCGGGUUGUAAAGUACUUUCAGCGAGGAGGCGUUACUCGCAGAAUAAGCACCGGCUAACUCCGUGCCAGCCGACGCGGUAAUUC